Long non-coding RNA from Lycium ferocissimum, 488 nucleotides. RefSeq lists it as uncharacterized. Lineage: Eukaryota; Viridiplantae; Streptophyta; Magnoliopsida; Solanales; Solanaceae. The transcript has 3 exons. The record is from RefSeq and is a predicted model, not a curated record.
CUUUGUAAAAUUUUCUGAAAACUUGCCUACUUAUGUUUUCCCCCCUAUUAUAUGGACCCAAACCCCUUUAAAGAAGGGGAUGAUUUGAGUCUAAAGUCAAAGAGAAGGGACCAUUUUCUCAACAUUAUUAAGUCCAAAACCAAAAACAAUUUGUAUACCGAUGGAUUCCUGAAGGAAAAAAACCUAGUCUUUAUUUAGGCCCACUCAAACCCAUCUGAUCUGCAACUUUUUGGAAAUUCGCCAAUCCUAGGUUAUGGCACUUGAAUGCUUCACACAAGUGUUGGGUUCACUAUUUGACAAAAUAUGUAGGGGUGAUGACGACGACCAACUUGCUGAAACUUUUCGAUGCUUGCCUGAUUGUCUCAUCAUUGAUAUCCUGACUAGACUUCCGAUACGUACCCUUGCUAAAUGUCAAAGGGAUUGUAGGGAUUUGAGAGCUUUGAUCUCAUCAGACUAUUUUACCACUUUACAUCUCAGCAGAGCUAGAC